AGAAGCCAUGGGGCAUGCUGGGAAAAUUCUCUAGUGACCUUCAUCCCUCACUGAUCUGGGAGCCUAAACUAUGCUCGGACACAGGCAUCUUUUGUGUUCUGACUAGAACCGUGAUUUGUGGUCACCCUGACUUCACCUUUCCCUCUGACGGCCCAAAGAGUGGAGCAGGAGAGGAAAUGAGAGGAGGCGAGGAGGCGAGAUGAGUGUGUUCGAGUGAGGCCAGGAGCUGCGGGCCGUGUUGAGAAAUCACAAGCACAUUGGAGAAGGGGUAGCUGAGCUCUCACAUUGAUGGCAGCCUAUGGUAGCCAAGGUACGAAGACCAGAUAGGUGCCCACCGAUGGAUGGAGAAACAAAGAAAACAUUGUUCAGAUACACCAGGAUCCUUUCAUCUUUUGUCAAGAAAGCAAUCCUGCCAUUGUAAUCAAGUGGAUGAACCUAGAGGACAUCAUGCCAAUGGAGAAAGUAUCCGACUGCCAAGCAGUGGUGUCUACAUGAGAGGCAUGAGCCUUGUCAUAUGGGGCUGGAAUUGUGAAGACAACGCUCCAACCUCAGAAGCCCUGGCCGUAAACACAGAGGCUGUGAUGCACACUCAUGGC
This is a long non-coding RNA of Mastomys coucha (southern multimammate mouse), 596 nucleotides long. RefSeq lists it as uncharacterized. The transcript has 3 exons. The record is from RefSeq and is a predicted model, not a curated record. NCBI's taxonomy places the organism in Eukaryota, Metazoa, Chordata, Mammalia, Rodentia, Muridae.